AGAGUUUGAUCCUGGCUCAGGAUGAACGCUAGCUACAGGCUUAACACAUGCAAGUCGAGGGGAAACGACAUCGAAAGCUUGCUUUUGAUGGGCGUCGACCGGCGCACGGGUGAGUAACGCGUAUCCAACCUGCCCAUCACUUGGGGAUAACCUUGCGAAAGUAAGACUAAUACCCGAUGAUAUCCCUAGAAGACAUCUGAAAGGGAUUAAAGAUUUAUCGGUGAUGGAUGGGGAUGCGUCUGAUUAGCUUGUUGGCGGGGUAACGGCCCACCAAGGCAACGAUCAGUAGGGGUUCUGAGAGGAAGGUCCCCCACAUUGGAACUGAGACACGGUCCAAACUCCUACGGGAGGCAGCAGUGAGGAAUAUUGGUCAAUGGGCGAGAGCCUGAACCAGCCAAGUAGCGUGCAGGACGACGGCCCUAUGGGUUGUAAACUGCUUUUAUAAGGGAAUAAAGUGAGUCUCGUGAGACUUUUUGCAUGUACCUUAUGAAUAAGGACCGGCUAAUUCCGUGCCAGCAGCCGCGGUAAUACGGAAGGUCCGGGCGUUAUCCGGAUUUAUUGGGUUUAAAGGGAGCGUAGGCCGGAGAUUAAGCGUGUUGUGAAAUGUAGACGCUCAACGUCUGCACUGCAGCGCGAACUGGUUUCCUUGAGUACGCACAAAGUGGGCGGAAUUCGUGGUGUAGCGGUGAAAUGCUUAGAUAUCACGAAGAACUCCGAUUGCGAAGGCAGCUCACUGGAGCGCAACUGACGCUGAAGCUCGAAAGUGCGGGUAUCGAACAGGAUUAGAUACCCUGGUAGUCCGCACGGUAAACGAUGGAUGCCCGCUGUUGGUCUGAAUAGGUCA
Molecule: ribosomal RNA, 844 nt
Filed under: uncultured bacterium
Lineage: Bacteria
Description: bacterial SSU rRNA
Rfam family: Bacterial small subunit ribosomal RNA
Source: RNAcentral